AUGUGUCCCAAAGGAAAAAAAGGAGGGUUGGGGUUCAAAGAUUUGCAUAGUUUUAAUCAUGCCUUGCUUGCCAAGUAGGUAUGGAGGUUGCUAGCAAGUCCUAACUCUCUUUAUGCACAAAUUCUGAGGGCAAAGUAUUAUCCGGAUGAGAGUCUUUUAGAUGCAAAAAUGAAGAGUGAAAGUUCUUAGACCUAUCAGAGUAUAUGUGCGGGGACCAACACUUUCAACAGAGGAACAAUAUGGCACAUAGGAGAUGGAUCUCAAAGUGAAUACCUAGUCGGAUGCAUGGAUCGUUGA
RNAcentral lists this ribosomal RNA (297 nucleotides) under Triticum aestivum (bread wheat). Its description in RNAcentral is "partial small subunit ribosomal RNA". Lineage: Eukaryota; Viridiplantae; Streptophyta; Magnoliopsida; Poales; Poaceae. The record is from RNAcentral.